This 914-nucleotide ribosomal RNA is filed under the name uncultured marine archaeon. RNAcentral's name for it is "bacterial SSU rRNA". It matches the Rfam family "Archaeal small subunit ribosomal RNA", at positions 1 to 922 of the family's 1478-position model. The record is from RNAcentral.
UUCCGGUUGAUCCUGCCGGACCUGACUGCUAUCGGAUUGAUACUAAGCCAUGCGAGUCUUUGUAGUAAUACAAGGCAGACGGCUCAGUAACACGUAGUCAACCUACCCUAUGGACGAGAAUAAUCUCGGGAAACUGAGCAUAAUUCUCGAUAGAUCAUAAUGCCUGGAAUGGUUUAUGGUUAAAAUGAUUCGUCGCCAUAGGAUGGGACUGCGGCCUAUCAGCUUGUUGGUGAGGUAAUGGCCCACCAAGGCGAUUACAGGUACGGGCUCUGAGAGGAGAAGCCCGGAGAUGGGUACUGAGACACGGACCCAGGCCCUAUGGGGCGCAGCAGGCGAGAAAACUUUGCAAUGUGCGAAAGCACGACAAGGUUAAUCCGAGUGAUUUCUGCUAAAGAAAUCUUUUGCCAGUCAUAAAACCACUGGUGAAUAAGGGGUGGGCAAGUUCUGGUGUCAGCCGCCGCGGUAAAACCAGCACCUCAAGUGGUCAGGAUGAUUAUUGGGCCUAAAGCAUCCGUAGCCGGCUUUGUUAGUUUUCGGUUAAAUCCAUGUGCUCAACGCAUGGGCUGCCGAAAAUACUGCAUAGCUAGGGAGUGGGAGAGGUAGACGGUACUCAGUAGGAAGGGGUAAAAUCCUUUGAUCUAUUGAUGACCACCUGUGGCGAAGGCGGUCUACCAGAACACGUUCGACGGUGAGGGAUGAAAGCUGGGGGAGCAAACCGGAUUAGAUACCCGGGUAGUCCCAGCUGUAAACGAUGCAGACUCGAUGAUGCAUUGGCAUAUAGCCAGUGCAGUGUCGCAGGGAAGCCGUUAAGUCUGCCGCCUGGGAAGUACGUACGCAAGUAUGAAACUUAAAGGAAUUGGCGGGGGAGCACCACAAGGGGUGAAGCCUGCGGUUCAAUUGGAGUCAACGCCGGG